Molecule: long non-coding RNA, 7819 nt
Filed under: Triticum aestivum (bread wheat)
Lineage: Eukaryota; Viridiplantae; Streptophyta; Magnoliopsida; Poales; Poaceae
Description: long non-coding RNA (TAES_LNC004693)
Source: RNAcentral
CCUGAUUUUAGGAGCACCCCAGCUAGUUGGGCCUGGACAAGAUGAUCAACCUCAAAUGUGUUCUAGAGAAAAUAUUGGGCAUAAAGGUAUGGAUUUGUGCUUCAUGUUAUGGUUCCUUCCAACGAGGACAAUACCGUGUACGAAUUCAUAGUUUAUCAUUGUGUUGUCUGUUAUUGUGACCCCCUUCUGCAUUUUGGUGAAAGAGAUUGUUUAUGGAUGCAGUUAGAGAUUGCACUUCUUAUUUUGUUUUGCUUUCCUCCAGAAGGAAAUUUGUUAUGCAAUAAUGUUGAUCAGUUGUGCCAAAAGUCAUCUAGUUUUGACUCCUAAAAUAGAUAUUUAGUAUUUUGAUGUGCUCCACUGCCUCUUCGCCUCUCCGUUGCAUAUUGCCUGUGAUGAUUAAACACGGAAAUGUUAAGUAUAUUUGGGCGAUGCACUUGUCUGUCAAGUAUGAAAUUAAGCUGGUAAGAAAAAUCUUACUUCCUGUGUUAAUAGUCCAAGCUCUCAGUAAGCUGUAUGAAUCUCCAAAUUAAGACGAAGAUACAUAGUUCUUUGAAUCAUCUUGUGCUAAAGUUUUAUCUGGUGAAUGUCAAAUAGAUUUUAUCACUUUAUCAAUACUAAGGGUAGAGGAAUAAGACAUUCAAAGUUCAAAUAUUGAUGCAAAAGUUGUAUUCUAUUGAAAUAUUUGAUGAAAUAAUUCCCUUUUUAUGAAAUUCAUUUUGGUUAUUUUGGGGUUUGAAUCAUGAAGUGGAAACAAAAAGGUUGUUGCAGCAGACAAAGCAUUUGAGGGACCAAGCUGUUAAUGCCAGAUUUUUCUUAGAUCAUCAGGGAUCGGCUCCCCGGUUCCAUUUCAUGGAAAUGAAACCAAUGUUCAAAUAAGGUUGAGACCAGCUGCCAGAAUUGACAACUUAAUAUGGAUAUUGGAUGAAUUACAAUACGCCUUGGGCCCGACAAGAAGAAGGAAGACGCUUCUCCAUUUUGCAACGUUGUAAAGGUAACACAAAGGUUCAUUGCAUUCUCAUCGUUUUGGUCCUUAUCAUGAUGAGUUUCUUCCUCAUAUACAACAACAACAACAAUAACAACAACUAAGCCUUUAGUCCCAAACAAGUUGGGGUAGGCUACAGCUGAAACCCAUAAGAUCUCGAUACCAGCUCAUGGCUCUGGCACGUGGAUAGCUAACUUCCACGCACCCCUGUCCAUGUCUAGUUCUUUGCUGAUAUUUCAGUCCUUCAGAUCUCUCUUUACGGACUCCUGCCAUGUCAAGUUUGGUCUACCCUGAUCUCUCUUGACAUUAUCAGCACGCUUUAACCGUCCGCUAUGCAGCGCUGUAUAUGUCCAAACCAUCUCAGACGAUGUUGGACAAGCUUCUUCCUCAUAUACAUCAUUGUUAAAUGCAAUGAAGCGAUGAACAAAAGAGAUUCAAAUUUGAUACUCUGAUUAUGUUGUAGACAAAACAAUUUUAUCGUUUCUUGAACUAGAUUAGCCGAUUAGUUUCAAAAGACUGCAUUGGUUCACUCAAUGUUGGUACACUGCAUGUUGAAAUUUUGUGCUGUUAUUUGAAAAAUGGAUGCGCUGAUGUUGUGGUGCAUUCAUUUUGUGAUCAGAGGACGUACAAAGACUUUCACCAUAUCACUUAGCAUCUCUGCUUUGGGGUCAACUUCUGAUAUAGAGGAACAAUGUUCUUUGAUGAUUGAAGUUUCCUUCUACCUGUCUAUUUUCAAUUUGUCAAAGCAUAGUCAUGUGUAUCUAGUUGGAUAAAAUUGGGCUCUAUGGAAUGUCAUUUGGUGCAUGCUAUUGUGAUUUACCAAAUGUGAUGAUUUCCUUAGGUUUUUAGCUCAUUGUUAGUGUUCAUUUUAUUUAAUUUAUUUUUCUAUGGAAAAUGCAACUAUCCUGAGGUGUUGGUUUCUCAUUUUGUUGAGAGCCAACAAUUAGUGGUAGUGGGAAGUAAGUGAUAAUACUUAGUUACCAACGACAAUAAUUUGUUUCUGGUGCUCUUUUUUAUAUCUGGUCCAUAAGUGUGUCACUAAUGUUAUCCCCUCUUUGGAAUUUUUAGGGUCUAAGGCCUCUCCCAACGCUCCAGGCUGUAUCGGUGCUUAGCCUUCCAGGUAAGCAAAAAUCUGACGUGGCGUCUUAAUUAAAGAGGAGAGAGAAGGAACCGGUAACCCCACGAAGAAACGGCACCAAGCGCUCAUACCUAGGUAGAAACACAGUUAAUUGGAUCCCGUAUGCAGCGCCGAGCCGUUCCAUCUCUUCUCCUUUUUCCCCUUCUUCUCAGCGACCUCCAUCUCAUCAUCUCCCUCGCCCUGCGCCGCCGCUCCCACCCAGCGCAACAGCAACUCCGUCCUCGCCUCGCGCCGCCGCAGCCAGCGGAACGAGUACUCAGUCGUCGCCCUACGCCGCCGCCCCAGGGGAACGGUUACUCAGUCGUCGCCCUGCGCCGCCACCCCAGUGCAGCAGCCGCCAUCCCUUCUGGUUGUGGAAACCCAGCCCCGGCCGACUCUCUGGCCUGCACGGACCAGCGGCGGGAGAUAGCUGCUCAAUGAUAAAUAGCCAUUUUCCCCAAAAUCGAGCUGCUAGUUUGUUUCAACAUAUGUGUUCUGUAUUCAACUUCAGCUCGUGCUUGCCUCCCGUCCAUGCUUAGAUGAGAUUUUUGUCUGCAAUUUUUGUUUCUCUGCAUCUUGCUAACUGAUAGACUGAAUCAUAGGUAGAUUGAAUAGUAUGCAAUCUGAACCAUAGGUAAACUGAUGAUAGUCUGAACUAUGAAUAGUGGAGACUGAUAUAAAUAUUAUGUGAUCUGAACCAUAUGCCCUAGUACAAGAUUCUUGCUAAACUACAGACCAUGAUUUGUUUUGCACAUCGACCAUCUAACUAGGUUACAGAAAGUACUACUAGUUGAUUCUAGUUUAGGCAACUGAAGCAGUUUUGAAAAGUUCCAUGAUUUUAUUUUACUCAAGCACUCAUGCAGAGUAUCGGGGUCCAAACAAAAUGUCACCACCACUAUUGUUUUUCUGUUUGGGCUCAGUUCAAAUAUAUUAUUGGCACUUUAUGUAUGGACUCGGUUCAAAUAUAUUUCUAUGUGGUCUGUUAAAGCGAUUUUAGUGGCUACGAAAAUGCAACAUAAAGGCCACAAAGUUUACAUACUACUAAGAUCCCACGACUAAUUAAACUAGUCGAAUGCCCGUGCGUUGCCACAGAAUACGAAAUAAAAUGUAGAGAUUAUGAUUAUAUAUUUUUUAAUUCAAAAUUGUGUGCAGAACAUGAUUUUCAUUCAUGUCCACUCGCUGCUUUGCUCCGAGUCAGUCUUUGUGUUUCAUUAGGCACCCUUUCCUUGCAUGCAACGGAAGUGAUAUAUUUCUCCCUUCCCUCUUGCCCCACCACCAUUCUGUUCAUCCACCCUUACUCUAGCAUUGUUGGUGCUAGUCAUGGACUCAUAGUUGUUGUUCCUAAUGGCUACACAUAUUCUUGCACCACUAUAUGCUUCUUGCUACAUCUUGGACGCAUACAUCGCUUGCAUCAUCUUCUGACCGAAAACACCAUGCAAUUAUAGUGCACAACUAUCAAACCCAGGAAGAGAAGGCUUAAUGGCAAAGGGUGUAAAAUUGGGCUGGGUUUUUGGGAUGUCUUGACGAACAAAUCUGACAGCAGCCAAAGCCACCAUUACAGAACAAUUCAUCUCCUCAAUUUCACCCUUCAUGUCUACUCCUCGACUCUAUUUUCACUCGCUUUGUUACAACACGUGAUUCUCCAUUAUGACCUGGCAACUAACAAGAGACAUUAAGUGGAACACAUUAACAUGAAUGUCAACUCUGCCAAUAAAUAUUUAGUGAUACUGGGGCAAUGAUCAAAUUCACCUCCAGCUCCAAACCAAUCAAGGCAUAGGGCAAAAUUUAACAAGGAUACUAAAUAUUACAAGCUACGACAGGGGAUCGCUAGUUUCAUCUCAGUCCCAAUAGCCUCCAGCACCUAGUGGGAAUAGGCCGAGCCACCAUCUUCUUAUCUCCGGUGGCUACAGAAUAGCAAAAGGAUAGAGCGCUAUUGAUUAUACAUGGCUGUUUCAGCGAACUGCGACAUGAAAAAUGAUCUUAUUCACUCACAUGCUUCCUCCUCUGCCAACUACGACCAUAUCGUACCCGUGAAAUCACUUACUGUAGUGGAACUCCUUUUCUGUGACCACUUUGCAAGAGGACAAAUAUGUAUUCUUCCUCCUGUUUUGUACUCCACCAUCUUGUGUCACCAUCUUCUUCAGAUCCGGUGAACCUUAUAGUGAUUCUCAUAAUCAUCUGCUGAUGGACACCCCAGUGAUACUAUGGCUAAAGAUGUGUGGAUGUCGUAAUAGACAUGUCACAGCCCCAGAUCAGCCCUUGCUUGAUUUUUCUUGCAUCCAUGCAUCAUGUUUAAAUUCAAAUGAAAUUUGAAUUGGGGAAUUUUCAAAGCCUCGGAAACCUUUUAAAAAUGGUCAACAUUAAAAUCUUCUCAAAGAAGCCUAAGAAAAUGUUCCUGUUACUCUGUGAAAAUUUUGGUAAGAGGUAAAAUUCAAACCAAUAUUUUUGGAAUCACAGAAAUAUUUAUUUUGGGCCUUUGACUUAAAUCAAUAACCUAUUUGAGUUGAAUUUAUUUCUGUUAUAUAAGAAAUAAAGUUCAAAUAUUUUUGUAAGUUGCUUGUGACCUUGGACUAGUUUCUGAGCUCACAUAACAAUUUACAGAAAGUUCAAAAAUGAUUUGAUGUUUUAAAAAUCAAAUCAAAACCAAUUGCAGAAAAUAAAAAACAUUAAUAAAUAGAAAACCAGAGAGAGAGAGAAGUUACCUGCGCAGCCACCUGGCGGCCCAAGUGGCCGGCCCAGCCCACUGGCCUGGCACUGUUGGCCAGCCCACUAGGAGCCCCACCGUCUUCAACCUCUGCCAGUAGGCAGAGGCGUGUCGACGCGCGCGCGCCCGAGCUCCACCUCCUGCUUCUUCCCCUGCCCUCGAUCGAGCGCCUGGAGGCGCCACGCAGCCCCCCUGGUCCCUCUCGCUCACUCGUUGCUCUCUCUCCCCUCCUCUGGUUCUCUCCCCCUUGCUGUUCCCCACCUCACCGAACCGCGCCGCCGCCACCGACGAGCUCCACCACGGCCGCAACCACUCCCUCGUUCCCUCUCCACGUCCCCGAGCUCCACCACGACCCCGUGGAGCAACACACCCGACGCACGCGACCAGAAAAGGCCCCAGUCGACCGGAGCGUCGUCGUCUUCACCUCCGGUGCCCGGAGAUCGACUCCGUCGAUUUGCCUCGUCCAGAGCGUCCCCGAGGCCGCUGACCUGCCCUGCCGCAUCCCCGUGAGCUCCCCUCCAUUUCUCCUCCAUCCUCGUGCUCGUUUUCGCACCGCAACACCGCCCGCGCUCACGCCCGAACUCCGGCCGCCGUCGAGCCCGGCCUCCUGGCGCCCAGCUGCGUGCACCCCUGGAUGCGGGCGAGCGAGGGCUUCCUCGUGGUGCCCUCAGCGCGCCCAGCCGCUGCCCUGGCGCCACCCCUGGCGAGCCGCCGCCGCACUGCAAGGUCGCCGGCCCUUAAUCCGGCGACGCUGACGUGGCUAAGGCAUUAGCCGCUAACAGCCCCACUAACUAACCCCCUGGCUCGCUGACAUGCGGGCCCCACUGCCUAACUAAACAGCUAACAAAAAUAUUUUAAGUUUAAUAUAAACACAGUGGCCCCACGCGUUGGCGUUGACCUCGCUGACGUGGCCGUUGACCGGACCCACCUGUCUGUGUCACUAACUGACACUGGGUCACUGACCAGUGGGUCCCACUGGUCAGGUCUGACCUGGACCCGGUCUGUUGACCUGCUGAGGUCAGCAUGACGUAGUGCUGACAUAAUUAAUAAUUUUCUGGAUUUAUUUUUUAUAUAGGAAAUUCCAGAAAAUGUAGCAAACUUCUAAAAAUCAUAGAAAAUAAUCUAUAACUCAAAUUGAAAAGAUUUAUAUAUGAAAAAUGAUCAGAAAAAUCCAAUCUAUCCAUCUGUACUGGUUCCAUGCAUGUCUAAACAACUUAACCUUGCUGUUUAGUUCAAAACAUGAUAAGGCACUAUUUAAAUUCAUAAUUUGAGUUUGGGAUUGAACCUUUGGUUCAAAAUGACCCAAACCCAUCUGUUUGUAGUUGCAUUAGCCAAAACACAUUCAUAUUGCCAUGUCUUAGCAUGCAUCAUAAUUGUUGCAUUGCAUUGAUUGUGUUCUUCCUUGUUUGCCGGUGGUUGUUCCCUCUCGAUAGACGUGGUUCCGACGAUGAGUUCGAUGACACUGAUGAAGAGCUAUAUGAUCUUCGGAAGUGCCAGGCAAGCAAACCCCCUUGUUCAUUCCGAUAUAAUCCCACUCUCUCGCUCCUGCUCUUUUUUACUGCAUUAGAACAACAACGAUUCAUCUGUUACUUGCUGCGGUAGUUGAACCCCUUAUCCUCUGCAUGACCUGUCAUUGCCACAGUAAAUAGAUGAAACCCACUAGCAUGAGUAGGAGUUGUUUGAGCCCUGAUGUGCCUACUCAUUCAUGCUUGUUUGUCAUGCCUACUAUUGCUUAGAGUUGAGUCGGGUCUGAUUCAUCGAGGAUGAAUUGGAAUGGUGAUGAACAUGUCCUACGGUGUGUGAGCUAAGUGUGUGAACACGAUUUGGUAAAGGUAGCGGUGAGAGGCCAUGUAGGAGUACAUGGUGGGUUGUCUCAUUGAAGCCGUCCUCAGGAACUGAGUUCUGUGUUUGUGAUCCAUGAUACAGUUACUACCACGCAUUGGGCCCGAAACCAAUGGACCCUCUCGGCUUCUUAAUCACCCUUAUCCUCUGUCCAGGAGUUGCAAGUAGUUUCUGGUGUUUGUAGUAUGCUGGAGGCCGUGGGCAGCGCUGACCCGAGGGGUGGGUUGUGAUGCGGUAGGCACGUGGCCGGGCAUGCCGGGCGCCCGUUUGGUGUCGCGGAACCCUGUACACAUCGUUCGGGGCCGUAUGUGGAAACCUCGGCCGGACUCCCUGCGGAUGGAACCUGAAUAGGCGAUAAACCUGGACUAGAGACUUGAGUGUUUAGGUAGGCUGUGGCCGACACCCUCGCUGGGCUUCCGCUUGAAGGUUGCCGAGUACAUGCUGCGUAAACGGCGGUAAGUGGUGAGAGCGUGUGUGACGAAGUACACCCCUGCAGGGUUAAUAUGAUCUAUUCGAAUAGCCGUGUCCGCGGUAAAGGACUUCUGGGUUGCCUAUAACAGUUCAUAGACAAGUGAAAGUGGAUACUCUAAAAUGCGCAAGAUAAGCAUGAGUGCUAUGGAUGGCGUUCUCGUAGGGAGACGGGAGCGGAUCCAUAGUGGAGUAUUGAUAUGGUGAAUAUGUGGACUCGUGUGCGCCACCUCAAAAGAGUUAUUUGCAGUCGUAGCUAGGAUAGCCACCGAGUCAAAGCUGGCUUGCUGCAGUUAAACUCCACCACCCCCUUUGUUGAUACCGAUGCAUAUGUAGCUAGUUCUGAUGUAAGUCUUGCUGGGUACAUUUGUACUCACAUUUGCUUAAUUUAUGUUUUUGCAGAAAGACUUCAGUCUCGCUAGUAGUUCCGCGUGGAUUUCGACGUUUAGCUUGUUACCUCAGCUACGAUCUUGUGCCCUCGGUAGGAUCUAGUAGAUAGUCAGGCUGCUCAGCCUUUUUCAUUUAUAGUUGUCUGUACUCAGACAUGUUAAGCUUCCGCAUGUGUUUGACUUGUAUGCUCUGAAUGCUGGGUCGAGAGAUCCAUGUUUGUAAUAUCUGGCUCUUCGGAGCCUAAUGAAUAAAUACUCUCAGUCGUAGAGUCUUGUUGUGAUGCCAUGUUGUAUUUGCACAUAUCGAGCAUAUUGUG